Molecule: ribosomal RNA, 475 nt
Filed under: Methanosarcina sp. enrichment culture clone F03
Lineage: Archaea; Methanobacteriati; Methanobacteriota; Methanomicrobia; Methanosarcinales; Methanosarcinaceae
Description: bacterial SSU rRNA
Rfam family: Archaeal small subunit ribosomal RNA
Source: RNAcentral
CCUUGGGUCCGGCAUAACCCCGGGAAACUGGGGAUAAUUCCGGAUAACGCAUAUAUGCUGGAAUGCUUUAUGCGUCAAAUGGAUUCGUCUGCCCAAGGAUGGGUCUGCGGCCUAUCAGGUAGUAGUGGGUGUAAUGUACCUACUAGCCGACGACGGGUACGGGUUGUGAGAGCAAGAGCCCGGAGAUGGAUUCUGAGACAUGAAUCCAGGCCCUACGGGGCGCAGCAGGCGCGAAAACUUUACAAUGCGGGAAACCGUGAUAAGGGGACACCGAGUGCCAGCAUCAUAUGCUGGCUGUCCGGGUGUGUAAAAUACACCUGUUAGCAAGGGCCGGGCAAGACCGGUGCCAGCCGCCGCGGUAACACCGGCGGCCCGAGUGGUGAUCGUGAUUAUUGGGUCUAAAGGGUCCGUAGCCGGUUUGGUCAGUCCUCCGGGAAAUCUGACGGCUUAACCGUUAGGCUUUCGGAGGAUACUG